Long non-coding RNA from Spinacia oleracea (spinach), 1372 nucleotides. RefSeq lists it as uncharacterized. The record is from RefSeq and is a predicted model, not a curated record. Lineage: Eukaryota; Viridiplantae; Streptophyta; Magnoliopsida; Caryophyllales; Amaranthaceae. The transcript has 7 exons.
AUUUACCAAUUUACCCUCUUAGCUUUUCUUCUCCAAUCCAACCUGCAUUCACCAGCCUAGAAAUCACUAACCCCUCUCUUCUUUCAGUAUCCUCCUCUCUCCUUUCAAGAAACCUGGACUCCGGCCUCCAUCGCGCCACCUCUUGUGGCCGACUUCUCCCGCCCCUCUCUUCUUUCAUUCUCCUCCUCUCUCUUCUUUCAAGAACCAUGAAAUCCAGCCUUCAUCGCGCCCUCUCUUGUGGCCGAGCAGAACAGAGGGAGAAAAAGAGGGAAGCAGCGGCGGUGGGAACUACGGUUGGAACUGGCGGUGGUGGCGUCGGCGAGGCAGAGGCGACAGGGGGAAAAAAAUCUCUCUCCUCUCAUUUGUUUUAGGUUUUAUUUUCCGUCGUUUUUAGCUGUCGAGCAUCUCCAUAAUGGUCUUCUCUCGAAUUAUGGCCAAGUUUGAGAAAACCUUCAUUCAAUCAUUUGCAAGUAUAGUUCGAUAUGCUGCAGCCUGCUAAUGCUGAGGAAGUGGGUUUCAUCAAGAUUCUCGAAGUGGUGAUUCAACCCAUUCUUUAGGAUCUGCUGAGUUAUUAAGAGCUCGGUAUUUCACAGCAGAUAAAAUGGAUUGCUGGGUUCGUAACUUGAAGCAGUCCUACUCAGAUAUUGUGUGGUUAGGUGCUGCAUGGACUUGUGGAAGCAGCUAAAACACUGCUCAUUAUGGUUUCUGUUGAGUCAAUGAAUAGCUGCAGGUUCAGUAUACAGAAACCUAAAUGAGUGAAUGGUUGCAGACUUGCAGUUCAGUCUGAUUUGCUGGUCUGGUUUCUUUCAGUUCAGUCUGAUUUGCUGCAUUACUCCAUAUUCUUGAAUUGGGAACUUGGGAAGUAAAUGCUAUAGUGUUUGAGUGCCUCGGCUAAUAAACUAGAUAAGCUCAAGACACAAGCAUCAGACUAUGCAGCUUUCAUCAUGAACGAGAUUCAUCCUCAACGCCUAGGAUAUUAAGACUUUAGGGAACUUGAAACAUUAUUUUCUCGGGGAAUGAAGACUAAAGUCAACAACGAAGCCCAUGUGGAGAUGAUUCCUGAUAAAUCAGUUUGGAAAGUGGUAUCUAGGACAGCAGAAUAUUUUUAGGUGUCUAACAUCAUGCCUUAUGCUAGUGAUUAUUUAUAAUCUAUUGAUUGUUCAUGGAUACGUCUUUCUCCUCUCUUACAAGCAGAGGCGUAUUAACAAGUGUUACAUGAAAUCAAUUUGUAUAUGGCUCGAGCUGAUAUCAAUAUCAUUCGAGUUGUAAUAAUGAAUGCAGACAUGGAUGUAUUUCGCCUUUUAGUACUGUUUUUUCUACUGAAACUAUCUAGGGACAGUGGUUAUUAUGAUAGUAUCAUGGAUUCAUGUUA